Molecule: ribosomal RNA, 311 nt
Filed under: uncultured bacterium
Lineage: Bacteria
Description: bacterial SSU rRNA
Rfam family: Bacterial small subunit ribosomal RNA
Source: RNAcentral
GACGAACGCUGGCGGCGCGCCUAACACAUGCAAGUCGAACGGAGCUUUGAGAGCUUGCUUUUAAAGCUUAGUGGCGAACGGGUGAGUAACGCGUGAGUAACCUGCCCUGGAGUGGGGGACAACAGUUGGAAACGACUGCUAAUACCGCAUAAGCCCACGGCCCGGCAUCGGGCUGAGGGAAAAGGAUUUAUUCGCUUCAGGAUGGACUCGCGUCCAAUUAGCUAGUUGGUGAGGUAACGGCCCACCAAGGCGACGAUUGGUAGCCGGACUGAGAGGUUGAACGGCCACAUUGGGACUGAGACACGGCCCAA